AUGCACCUGGGCAAGGAUUCGGA
Molecule: microRNA, 23 nt
Filed under: Dasypus novemcinctus (nine-banded armadillo)
Lineage: Eukaryota; Metazoa; Chordata; Mammalia; Cingulata; Dasypodidae
Description: Dno-Mir-362-P3a-v1_3p (mature (guide))
Source: RNAcentral